This 350-nucleotide ribosomal RNA is filed under the name Dolichospermum flos-aquae str. Malviya. RNAcentral's name for it is "bacterial SSU rRNA". It matches the Rfam family "Bacterial small subunit ribosomal RNA", at positions 555 to 902 of the family's 1533-position model. Lineage: Bacteria; Bacillati; Cyanobacteriota; Cyanophyceae; Nostocales; Aphanizomenonaceae. The record is from RNAcentral.
UGCGCGUAAAGCGUCCGCAGGUGGCACUGUAAGUCUGCUGUUAAAGAGCAAGGCUCAACCUUGUAAAGGCAGUGGAAACUACAGAGCUAGAGUACGUUCGGGGCAGACGGAAUUCCUGGUGUAGCGGUGAAAUGCGUAGAGAUCAGGAAGAACACCGGUGGCGAAAGCGCUCUGCUAGGCCGUAACUGACACUGAGGGACGAAAGCUAGGGGAGCGAAUGGGAUUAGAUACCCCAGUAGUCCUAGCCGUAAACGACGGAUACUAGGCGUGGCUUGUAUCGACCCAGAGCCGUGCCGGAGCCAACGCGUUAAGUAUCCCGCCUGGGGAGUACGCACGCAAGUGUGAAACUC